UACGUAGGGCGCAAGCGUUGUCCGGAAUUAUUGGGCGUAAAGGGUGCGUAGGCGGGUCUUUAAGUCAGGGGUGAAAUCCUGGAGCUCAACUCCAGAACUGCCUUUGAUACUGAAGAUCUUGAGUUCGGGAGAGGUGAGUGGAACUGCGAGUGUAGAGGUGAAAUUCGUAGAUAUUCGCAAGAACACCAGUGGCGAAGGCGGCUCACUGGCCCGAUACUGACGCUGAGGCACGAAAGCGUGGGGAGCAAACAGG
RNAcentral lists this ribosomal RNA (253 nucleotides) under uncultured bacterium. RNAcentral's name for it is "partial 16S ribosomal RNA". It matches the Rfam family "Bacterial small subunit ribosomal RNA", at positions 524 to 776 of the family's 1533-position model. The record is from RNAcentral.